Molecule: ribosomal RNA, 466 nt
Filed under: uncultured bacterium
Lineage: Bacteria
Description: partial 16S ribosomal RNA
Rfam family: Bacterial small subunit ribosomal RNA
Source: RNAcentral
GACGAACGCUGGCGGCGCGCCUAACACAUGCAAGUCGAACGAGCGAGAGAGAGCUUGCUUUCUUGAGCGAGUGGCGAACGGGUGAGUAACGCGUGAGGAACCUGCCUCAAAGAGGGGGACAACAGUUGGAAACGACUGCUAAUACCGCAUAAGCCCACGGUGCCGCAUGGCACAGAGGGAAAAGGAGCAAUCCGCUUUGAGAUGGCCUCGCGUCCGAUUAGCUAGUUGGUGAGGUAACGGCCCACCAAGGCGACGAUCGGUAGCCGGACUGAGAGGUUGAACGGCCACAUUGGGACUGAGACACGGCCCAGACUCCUACGGGAGGCAGCAGUGGGGAAUAUUGCACAAUGGGGGAAACCCUGAUGCAGCGACGCCGCGUGGAGGAAGAAGGUCUUCGGAUUGUAAACUCCUGUUGUUGGGGAAGAUAAUGACGGUACCAAACAAGGAAGUGACGGCUAACUACGUG